CCUGACUCGCGUUUUUUUCUACAGCAGUUUAGCUAGCAUCUAGUUAGCAUUUCACCAUGUCCUGGUUCUGGGAACAUUUUGACAUUAUAUUGACCUUUGUCUGGCUUUACGCACUUAUUAACCAAACUAGAUUUCUAAUUGUUUACUCUCUGUAUCGUAUAACAGUGAUGAAGUACCGGUCUCUGGAGAGGAGCUAGUCCGUUAGCCUUUAGCUCUUUAGCUCUUUAUCAAUCAGAGCCUCAUCAGUGAAUCCUGUCACCCGUCAGAUUCUGUGACUUUUACGUCGCUUUACGUCAUCUCCAUGGCAACAUCAAACACAACGACCUGACUCGUUUUUUUAGCUAGCAUCUAGUUAGCAUUUCACCCUGUUCUGGUCCUGGAGACGUUUAAACAUUAUAUUUGACGUUCUCUUCGUUGACGCAUUUUUUAGGUUAGUUUUCCAUCUUAUCUUUUAUUGUCCGUCUGUUGGUAGUCUCUGGAGAGGAGCUAGUCCGUUAGCCUUUAGCUCUGUAUCGGUCAGAGCCUCCAUCAGCGUCUGCUGAACGCUCGGCUGCUUCUGAAAGGUUUCUUUCUGACAGGAGACACGAUGGUGCGUCUCACCGUGGAUCUCAUCGCUAAAUCUAGAAACCACUUCAGAAAGAAAAGAGGCCUUUCCUUCCCAGAGUACCUGAGGACGCUCACACACCUCCACUUCUUCAGCAAGAAUAUCGAGG
Molecule: long non-coding RNA, 713 nt
Organism: Notothenia coriiceps (black rockcod)
Lineage: Eukaryota; Metazoa; Chordata; Actinopteri; Perciformes; Nototheniidae
Exons: 3
Source: RefSeq, a predicted model, not a curated record